RNAcentral lists this long non-coding RNA (1900 nucleotides) under Triticum aestivum (bread wheat). Its description in RNAcentral is "long non-coding RNA (TAES_LNC025777)". The record is from RNAcentral. Lineage: Eukaryota; Viridiplantae; Streptophyta; Magnoliopsida; Poales; Poaceae.
CGCAAGGAAGAAGAACGAGUCCAUGAAGAAGACAAACAGACAUAGUCGAGCGGAUCCUCACACACACGACGUUAUCGGAACCAACCCGAAGAAGCAACACCGGAAAGAAGCAAACAACAUCGUAAACAAACAUCACAUAAACAUGACAUGAUGCACAACCAAGUAUGAUGCAUGUCCGGUUUAAUGAGGCAUGGCAUGGCAUGGCAAAGUGCACAAGCAAUUCUACAAAUUAAGUGGAGCUCAAUAUGCAAUGAGUUGCAUAUUGACGAAACACCACAUUCAAGUUAUUUAGUUCGAUCUCGUUUAUGUACCCAACUAGAUUAAAUGUUGUUAGCAUGGCAAGAGGGAGAAGCAAAGUAAAACUACCUAUCUAGUCAAGUUUAAAUGAGGCCGGAAGUAACGAACAACAAUUCCGGUAAAACCCCAUGACAUAUUAUAGAUUUGGUACUGUUCUGCCCUAAACACAAUUUUAGAGUUAAUAAACAUGCAAAGUAAAUCCACCAUGUUAAACUAGGCAUUUUUCUACCCCAUUUACAUAUAUAAUUUAUUUAAAACCGAGCUAUGGUUAUUAAGUUAUGAAAUAAAUCAUUUAACAUGGCAUAUGAGCAAAAUUAAUGCAAACAGCAGUUUAAACAUUUCAAACAUGGAUGAAAGUGGCAUAUUAUGAAACUACACAAAAUUCUAAGCACUUUUCAUAUAUUAAGUUUUUACAUGUGAUGCAUGGUUGGUGAGUUAUUAAAUGCAAGAAGAACAGGGUCUUUUCUGCAAAUCCCUGGAAAUUAGCUAAAUUCGUCCCGAGGAAAAAAACACUAUAUGGGCCGAAACUGGCUAGCCCAACAGGAGGAAAAAAAAGAGGGGCGCUGGGGCAGCUCACCCAUGGGCCAAGCCCAGUCGGAGGAAGAGGCAGGCCGCGAAGGGAGGCGCUGGGCCGGAUCUGCUUGUGGCCCAUGCGAUCGCUAGAGCUGGCCCAGGGCACUGCGCUAUGCGUGAAGUAGAGGAGGGGGUCGUGCUCGUCGCAGAGUCAACGCCGGCACUGCCUCAUCCUGUCACUUGAAGCAGGGGAAGCAAAGGUCAGCGACAUGGUCGCCAGGCACGGGAACGACGUGCAAGUAGGCGAGGGGCAGCGAGCUCGACCAGGUCACCCGAUUGGUCGCCGGACUUGGCCGGGCGGCGCUCAGGACGGAAUGGAGGUCGGCGGUGGCUGGCGAGGAAGGAGACGGCGGGGCACGUCCUGGCAGGGCGGCGCGACAAACUGCAUAAGGGCCGCCCUGGUUGGGUACUCCGGCGAGGUUGGAGGUCGCCGGUUUCCUGUCUCCUGCGGCGCGCGGGGAAGAUGGCGCAGGGCGAGGCUCGGUUCGAGAUGGCGCUGAUGGAGGCUGCAGGAAACUCCAUGGAGGGCGUCGGCAUGGCAGAUCGAGGCGGCCACAACAAGAACUUGACGCACGGGCGAGGAAGAGGGACUUGGCGCAGCAGCGGAUGCAGGAGAUGGCGGCGUCGGGACCUCAAGGCCGAAAUCAAAACAUGGUGCUGGAGCUCCUGUUGAGGUACAGAGAGAUGAAGAGGUUAGGGAGAGAGAGUUGCAGGGACGAGGGAACGAAAAGAGAGGGUCGCGAGGAGCUGGCCUGGCGGUUCCGGUAGAGCUCCGGUGAGGUCUCCGGCCGGUGGUGGCGCGUGGGGUCGAGCGAGGCUCUCGGGCGGCGGCAGUUGGGUGGAUGGAUCGAUGGAAUUGGAAAUUUUUUUGGUGGUGGCUGAUAGGUGCGAAGGGGAUCCCGAGGUGGGAGAAAGAUAGUGGUAGCGGCGUCUGGACAGGGGAGGAUUUGGAUCGAGGAGGAGGUGGCUGGUUCGAUGGAUCUGGGAGGAUCCCGAGGAAGGAGGGAGUUGGUCGGCUGGCGGCGGAGAG